CCAACUCGGACCCAGACAGCCCAGGGGAUCCCGAACAGGGGCAGAAGCCGUACCCGGACCCUAAAAGACUGUACCUCUGCUCAGAGUGUGGCAAGAGGUUCACCACAGCGCCUUUACUAAAGUCUCACAUGAAGUCUCACAGUGGGGAGAUACACCACCAGUGCUCCGUCUGUGGGAAGUGUUUCCUGCUGUUCCAGGACCUCAAGAGACACCGGGAGAUACACAAAGGGGGCAACAACUCUGACGCAGACA
Long non-coding RNA from Oncorhynchus tshawytscha (Chinook salmon), 252 nucleotides. The record is from Ensembl. NCBI's taxonomy places the organism in Eukaryota, Metazoa, Chordata, Actinopteri, Salmoniformes, Salmonidae.